CUUUGUAAAUUUUCGUUCUUCUAGAAAUUUUUGUACGUUCCUUUGUAUUUUCUAUACAUACCACUUCAAAAAUAUUCCUGUUGAUGCUGUGACAAAUUACCACAGCCCGAAUGACUUUAACAAAUCUAUUCUCUUACAGUUCUGGAGGCGAAAUGUGUAAAAUGGAUCCAUAGCGCCGUGCUCCGUCUGGAUAUGCCAGGAUCCUGUGAUUUUUCCUGUCCAGCCUGUUAACAUGAUGGCUCAUACUGCUGGAAUUUGAAACUGCUUUCUGUCCCCCAAAUAAACCCAUUUGGUCAUGGUGUACAA
This is a long non-coding RNA of Herpailurus yagouaroundi (jaguarundi), 306 nucleotides long. RefSeq lists it as uncharacterized. NCBI's taxonomy places the organism in Eukaryota, Metazoa, Chordata, Mammalia, Carnivora, Felidae. The transcript is spliced from 2 exons. The record is from RefSeq and is a predicted model, not a curated record.